GUGAACGCUGGCGGUAGGCCUAACACAUGCAAGUCGAACGGCAGCACAGUAAGAGCUUGCUCUUACGGGUGGCGAGUGGCGGACGGGUGAGGAAUACAUCGGAAUCUACUUUUUCGUGGGGGAUAACGUAGGGAAACUUACGCUAAUACCGCAUACGACCUACGGGUGAAAGCAGGGGAUCUUCGGACCUUGCGCGAUUGAAUGAGCCGAUGUCGGAUUAGCUAGUUGGCGGGGUAAAGGCCCACCAAGGCGACGAUCCGUAGCUGGUCUGAGAGGAUGAUCAGCCACACUGGAACUGAGACACGGUCCAGACUCCUACGGGAGGCAGCAGUGGGGAAUAUUGGACAAUGGGCGCAAGCCUGAUCCAGCCAUACCGCGUGGGUGAAGAAGGCCUUCGGGUUGUAAAGCCCUUUUGUUGGGAAAGAAAAGCAGCAGGUUAAUACCCCGCUGUCCUGACGGAACCCAAAGAAUAAGCACCGGCUAACUUCGUG
Molecule: ribosomal RNA, 491 nt
Filed under: uncultured bacterium
Lineage: Bacteria
Description: partial 16S ribosomal RNA
Rfam family: Bacterial small subunit ribosomal RNA
Source: RNAcentral